Molecule: ribosomal RNA, 200 nt
Filed under: uncultured bacterium
Lineage: Bacteria
Description: partial 16S ribosomal RNA
Rfam family: Bacterial small subunit ribosomal RNA
Source: RNAcentral
AACGAACGCUGGCGGCAGGCUUAACACAUGCAAGUCGAACGCCCCGCAAGGGGAGUGGCAGACGGGUGAGUAACGCGUGGGAAUCUACCCAGAACUACGGAACAACUGAGGGAAACUUCAGCUAAUACCGUAUACGCCCUACGGGGGAAAGAUUUAUCGGUUCUGGAUGAGCCCGCGUAAGAUUAGCUAGUUGGUGGGGU